RNAcentral lists this ribosomal RNA (669 nucleotides) under Triticum aestivum (bread wheat). RNAcentral's name for it is "partial small subunit ribosomal RNA". The record is from RNAcentral. Lineage: Eukaryota; Viridiplantae; Streptophyta; Magnoliopsida; Poales; Poaceae.
AUGGCGCGACUACUCUUCCAAACCCACACGGCCGCGCAAACCUUCGCCCCGAGCCCGCGCGGCAACCGCCGCCCCGCUCCCGCCGCGCCCCACGCCGUCGGCUUCCUCCGCGCCCUCUUCCCUGCCCGGCCGCCGCCGGCCAAGGCCGAGCUCCUCCGCCUCAUCGCCGACCAGGGCCGCGGCCUCGAAACCCAGUCCGACCCGUCCCGCCUCGCGGACAUCGUCUCCUGCAUAGACGCCCUCGCUGCCUCCGCCCCGGACGCCGACACCGUGUCGGACGCCGCCAAGCUCUCCGGCACCUGGCGCCUCCUGUGGACGACCGAGCAGGAGCAGCUCUUCAUCGUGCGCAACGCCCCCAGCUUCCGCACCGCCGCCGGCGACGUGCUCCAGGUCAUCGACGUUCCAGCUGGGAGCCUCAACAACGUCAUCACCUUCCCGCCCUCUGGCGCGUUCGUCGUGAACGGCAGCAUCGAGAUCCAACCACCCCAGCGAGUAAAUUUUCGGUUUACACGUGCUAUGCUGAAGGGGGGCAAUUGGGAGGUUCCCUUUCCGCCAUUUGGGAAAGGAUGGUUUGAUACUGUCUAUUUGGACGAUGAAAUCCGUGUAGCGAAGGACAUAAGGGGGGACUAUUUAGUUGUUGAGCGUGCUCCAUAUUCUUGGAACGGAUAG